This is a long non-coding RNA of Vigna unguiculata (cowpea), 1608 nucleotides long. RefSeq lists it as uncharacterized. The record is from RefSeq and is a predicted model, not a curated record. Lineage: Eukaryota; Viridiplantae; Streptophyta; Magnoliopsida; Fabales; Fabaceae.
UUUAAAAUCCCUAGGAAGUCUGAGAGAUUUUUUAAAUGAAUUGCUGAAAAUUUCUUCACUCUUUCAUGUCCUCUCUUUGCUAACACUUUCGGUACAUUCUAUUCUCCCAGAUGAUAUAACAGAGGGCAUUUUUUUCUCUUCUGCUUCGUCUCUCCAUUUCGGCAAUCGUUUCUAUUUUUUCGUUAUUUUAGCAAUCGAUUUCGCCUCUUUAUCUCUGCUUCCAAUUUCUCUUUUUUUCUCUUCUCUAAUCGCUUAAUCAGAACUUCAAAUUGGUAAUGGAUUCUGAUUUUUCUUUCCUUGUGCGUUGCUUUGGAGAUUGCAGGUUCAGUCCAAUUUAAUCGCGAUUUCUUCAUAUUUGUUCGGUUCGUGUUGCUUCAAAGCUAUUUCUCGUGUGCGUUGUUAGGUUUGUGCAAUGUUUCUCGUGUUGUGUUGCGUUUUGUUGUAGGCUAGGUUCGGUUGGGUUCGACUUGUGCUUACAGCUCAAUAAUCGUGCUUUGUAUAUUAAUUAGAGUACCAGUGUCUCAAUCUUGAGAGUUUCUAAUUCAUUAAAAUACAAAUUGUUCAGCUUCCAUUCUUUUCUCUCUUGUUUUUCGUAAGUUUUUUUUAGUUUCACGAGUUUGGGAGCUUAGAAGCAAUUUCAUGAGAUGAAAUGAACGAACCAUGUGGUGUUGCCUUGGCUAUGAUCUCAAACUAGUUGAGCUCAAUAGCAGCAUUCAGAACUCCAGGAUACACCACAGUAGCGCUAAGUACUACAUGAUUUUCAUCUUUUUCAUUCCAAGUUAUUUAGGAAGUAAUAAUGUUUUUACAUGUAUUCCUUCGCUCAUAUUACUGUUUGCAUCCUACUUUUGCUUUUCUCAUCAUUUGAUUAUUCGAACAUCAUUUUAAGGCAUGCAUAUGAUCUAUAUUUCUAUCUGCCAGGUUCUUAGAUAUGGUUAAAAUCAGCUGUUGGCUUGCUUUCUACUUAGCAAUUAAGGUUCAUACUCCAUAUUAUAACAAGUGUAUGUACAAUAGUCUUGAGUUGAAUGAACCCAAAAAAAAAGACAAACAAGGUUGUUGGAACUUAGUAAGUACACCUAUAAUUUAAAUUCUAUUUCUCUUAAUUAUUAACUUAUUUUUAUAAGAUUAUUUUAUCAGUAACUUGGUCUCAAAAAAGAGCUUCUUCCACCUUAUCUGGAUCCAAGCCUCACCAAUAUUGAAGAGCUGAUGACAGGAGUCAGUUUUGCCUCUACUAGUUCCGGCUCUGACCCAGUUACACCAACCAUCAUUUUGGAAUAUUUCAGGGAAUGCAAAAAAAGAAUGGAGGAUGUGGUGGGUAAGCAAAGAAUUGAAGAUCAUGUGAAGAAAGCUGCGUACUUCAUCAGUGCUGGUACAAAUGACUUCGUUCUUAAUUAUUUUUCUGUACCAUUACGAAGAAAGAGCUACACUCUCGAAGCGUAUCAAAACUACUUAAUCCAACGCAUCACAGAUUUUAUAUAGGUUAGUUCAAUUGCUCCCAUGAUUUAACCUCCAUCAUUAAUAGAACUGGAGACUUUUUUGGUUAAUAGAGGUGGACUUGUAAAAUUGAAUUGCUCUCCAUCAAUCACCCGUUAUUCUCCCUUUUUUUGGAUA